UUCAUUGCAAUAUUUGCCUUUUGCAAAUUAAUGACAAAGAAAAAUCUUCUGACGUUUCGCGUCUUUUCAUUUUAUUUCGAAAUUUUAGUCCCUUUGUUAAUUAUCUUUUUUAAUGACAUGAUUCUAUAUAUAUAUAUAUAUAUAUACAUACAUAUAUGUAUAUUAUGAUUCUAUAUAUAGAUAUCUAUAUUUCCUCUCUCCACAGAUUAAUCUAACUGUUUAAUUAAAACAAAGCCCCUGGAAAAGGCGAAAGCCUGUUGACCAGGGGUGAUUCCUGCCCAGUGCUCUGAAUGUCAAAGUGAAGAGAUUCAACCUAGCACGGGUAAACGGCGGGAGUAACUAUGACUCUCUAUAAUACCCUUUGGAGAGAAAAGUGUAUUGGCCUGAUAUAUCGGUUUCAGGAUUGCUCUAAUAUGCUAACGUGUCUUACACAACAAGAGUUGGCCAGACUGUCAAAUUGCGGAAACGACUUGUUAAGUCAUCAAUACUAACCAACUGGGAAACCAAGUUGAGGGCCUCGCAAAGGAUAUAAGUAAAAAGUUGAUGAAUAGAGUUAAUCACGCAGCCAAGUUCUAACCCACUACGUGUUUGUAGAUGGUAUGAAUGCAGUUCACAGACUAAAUGUCAGUCGGCGCAAGCUUAAGAUAUAGUCGGUCCGCCUCGAGAGGGGUUAUGAUGGAUAAAGUCUCACCAGACCCGAGCCAUCUGUCAGAGCUAAAGUCUCUGAGGAGUAAACGUAACGUAGCCAAAUGCCUCGUCAUCUAAUUCGCGCAUGAAUGGAUAAAUGACAUUCCCACUGUCCCUAACUACCAUACAGCGAAACCACAGCCAAGGGAACGGGCUUGG
RNAcentral lists this non-coding RNA (846 nucleotides) under Cavenderia fasciculata SH3. RNAcentral describes it as "Dictyostelium fasciculatum SH3 Eukaryotic large subunit ribosomal RNA". It matches the Rfam family "Eukaryotic large subunit ribosomal RNA", at positions 1993 to 2388 of the family's 3401-position model. Lineage: Eukaryota; Evosea; Eumycetozoa; Acytosteliales; Cavenderiaceae. The record is from Rfam by way of RNAcentral.